GCUUGGUCCUUGGCCUGAUCCUGCACCUAGCCCAUCUUUCUGGCCCUUUCAGGAAUUCCUGCCAGGGCUUACACUCCCAAGAGAUACGUUGGGCCCAUCUAAAGCUGGGACCAUACUUCCUCCCCACCAUUGAGGACAAUAAAACCCCAGAGACACAUGGAUCCCCAGACCAAGAUAAAUACAGAGAUUACAUGAAACACAGACUCAUCAGAUAACAGAGAAAUAUGUUGAU
This is a non-coding RNA of Pelobates cultripes (western spadefoot toad), 232 nucleotides long. The record is from the annotation of a GenBank genome assembly. NCBI's taxonomy places the organism in Eukaryota, Metazoa, Chordata, Amphibia, Anura, Pelobatidae.